RNAcentral lists this ribosomal RNA (443 nucleotides) under uncultured bacterium. Its description in RNAcentral is "partial 16S ribosomal RNA". It matches the Rfam family "Bacterial small subunit ribosomal RNA", at positions 338 to 795 of the family's 1533-position model. The record is from RNAcentral.
CCUACGGGUGGCAGCAGUGGGGAAUAUUGGGCAAUGGAGGAAACUCUGACCCAGCAACGCCGCGUGCAUGAUGAAGGUCUUCGGAUUGUAAAGUUCUUUUCUAAGGGAAGAAGAAAGUUACGGUACCUUAGGAAUAAGCCUCGGCUAACUACGUGCCAGCAGCCGCGGUAAUACGGAGGUGGCAAUAGUUGUCCUGAUUUACUGGGUGUAAAGGGCGUGUAGGCGGGCUGACAAGUCAGAUGUGAAAUCCGGGGGCUCAACACCCGAGCUGCAUAUGAAACUGUUGGUCUUGAGUAUCGGAGAGGCAGGCGGAAUUCCUAGUGUAGCGGUGAAAUGCAUAGAUAUUAGGAGGAACACCAGUGGCGAAGGCGGCCUGCUGGACGACAACUGACGGUGAGGCGCGAAAGCGUGGGGAGCGAACAGGAUUAGAUACCCGGGUAGUC